RNAcentral lists this ribosomal RNA (466 nucleotides) under uncultured bacterium. RNAcentral's name for it is "partial 16S ribosomal RNA". It matches the Rfam family "Bacterial small subunit ribosomal RNA", at positions 28 to 507 of the family's 1533-position model. The record is from RNAcentral.
GAUGAACGCUGGCGGCGUGCUUAACACAUGCAAGUCGAACGAUGAAGCCCAGCUUGCUGGGUGGAUUAGUGGCGAACGGGUGAGUAACACGUGAGUAACCUGCCCUUAACUCUGGGAUAAGCCUGGGAAACUGGGUCUAAUACCGGAUAGGAGCGCCUACCGCAUAGUGGGUGUUGGAAAGAUUUAUCGGUUUUGGAUGGACUCGCGGCCUAUCAGCUUGUUGGUGAGGUAAUGGCUCACCAAGGCGACGACGGGUAGCCGGCCUGAGAGGGUGACCGGCCACACUGGGACUGAGACACGGCCCAGACUCCUACGGGAGGCAGCAGUGGGGAAUAUUGCACAAUGGGCGAAAGCCUGAUGCAGCGACGCCGCGUGAGGGAUGACGGCCUUCGGGUUGUAAACCUCUUUCAGUAGGGAAGAAGCGAAAGUGACGGUGCCUGCAGAAGAAGCACCGGCUAACUACGUG